Molecule: ribosomal RNA, 312 nt
Filed under: uncultured bacterium
Lineage: Bacteria
Description: bacterial SSU rRNA
Rfam family: Bacterial small subunit ribosomal RNA
Source: RNAcentral
GAGCGGCGCACGGGUGAGUAACGCGUAUCCAACCUUCCCCUUAGUAGGGCAUAGCCCGGCGAAAGUCGGAUUAAUACCCUAUGUUCUUCGUAGAUGACAUCUGACAUGAAGCAAAGAUUUAUCGCUAAGGGAUGGGGAUGCGUCCGAUUAGCUUGUUGGCGGGGUAACGGCCCACCAAGGCACCGAUCGGUAGGGGUUCUGAGAGGAAGGUCCCCCACACUGGUACUGAGACACGGACCAGACUCCUACGGGAGGCAGCAGUGAGGAAUAUUGGUCAAUGGGCGGUAGCCUGAACCAGCCGAGUAGCGUGCA